This 77-nucleotide transfer RNA is filed under the name Thermogemmata fonticola. It matches the Rfam family "tRNA". From Rfam's summary of the family: Transfer RNA (tRNA) molecules are approximately 80 nucleotides in length. Their secondary structure includes four short double-helical elements and three loops (D, anti-codon, and T loops). Further hydrogen bonds mediate the characteristic L-shaped molecular structure. tRNAs have two regions of fundamental functional importance: the anti-codon, which is responsible for specific mRNA codon recognition, and the 3' end, to which the tRNAs corresponding amino acid is attached (by aminoacyl-tRNA synthetases). tRNAs cope with the degeneracy of the genetic code in two manners: having more than one tRNA (with a specific anti-codon) for a particular amino acid; and 'wobble' base-pairing, i.e. permitting non-standard base-pairing at the 3rd anti-codon position. The record is from Rfam by way of RNAcentral. Lineage: Bacteria; Pseudomonadati; Planctomycetota; Planctomycetia; Gemmatales; Gemmataceae.
GGAGGGGGUGCUUGCACUGGUCUUGAAAACCGGCGUGGGGUUAUGCCCCACCGCGGGUUCGAAUCCCGCCCCUUCCG